GAAAGAUGAAGUUCGACUAAAAACGUCACGCCCUGUGACAACAUCGAACCCCCACCUCGUGUGGG
RNAcentral lists this small RNA (65 nucleotides) under Pontibacillus chungwhensis BH030062. RNAcentral describes it as "Bacillaceae-1 RNA". It matches the Rfam family "Bacillaceae-1 RNA". Lineage: Bacteria; Bacillati; Bacillota; Bacilli; Caryophanales; Bacillaceae. The record is from Rfam by way of RNAcentral.